UGGCUCAGUUGGUAGAGUAUGGUGUUUGCAAUGCCAGGGUUGUGGGUUCAAUUCCCAC
Molecule: transfer RNA, 58 nt
Filed under: Salmo salar (Atlantic salmon)
Lineage: Eukaryota; Metazoa; Chordata; Actinopteri; Salmoniformes; Salmonidae
Rfam family: tRNA
About the family: Transfer RNA (tRNA) molecules are approximately 80 nucleotides in length. Their secondary structure includes four short double-helical elements and three loops (D, anti-codon, and T loops).
Source: Rfam by way of RNAcentral